GUUAAGUCAGAUGUGAAAGCCCGGGGCUCAACCUCGGAAUUGCAUUUGAAAACUGGCAAACUAGAGUACUGUAGAGGGGGUAGAAUUUCAGGUGUAGCGGUGAAAUGCGUAGAGAUCUGAAGGAAUACCGGUGGCGAAGGCGGCCCCCUGGACAGAUACUGACACUCAGAUGCGAAAGCGUGGGGAGCAAACAGGAUUAGAUACCCUGGUAG
This 212-nucleotide ribosomal RNA is filed under the name uncultured bacterium. Its description in RNAcentral is "partial 16S ribosomal RNA". It matches the Rfam family "Bacterial small subunit ribosomal RNA", at positions 582 to 793 of the family's 1533-position model. The record is from RNAcentral.